Microcebus murinus (gray mouse lemur) is the source of this 535-nucleotide non-coding RNA. NCBI's taxonomy places the organism in Eukaryota, Metazoa, Chordata, Mammalia, Primates, Cheirogaleidae. The record is from RefSeq and is a predicted model, not a curated record.
UUAACAUCCAAUCAGCAACAGUGGGAUUCAAAAAUUACCCAAUCAGGACCACGCAAGCAAGGGGGCUGGAAGCAGGUGGUGGCACUUGGGCCGGUGGCUCUCUGCCGCUGGGCCUGGCCCCAGCAGCGUGCCCUACAACUGGCCAUGCACAGCCCUGGCCUGCGGAGAUGGCCCUACAACUGGCCAUGCACAGCCCUGGCCUGCGGAGAUGCAGAACGACAGGGAGGCAGCAAGCAGCCACUUUCCAGUGCCCAACAUUUUCCAUGCUCAUGUCUGGAGCAUGAAGAGGAAGAGGAAAGGAGCUACUUCAACUUAGCAGGUGAAAACCAAAAUGCCAGAAGAGCUAAAGAUUCCUAUAGGCGAAGAGGAAGUUAUUUCUCCCGAGACCACUAGGGAAGAGAGGAGGAGGAGAAUCACAGGAGGGGGAGAAUCACAUGGGGGUGUGUGUGUGUGGGGGGGUGUAGAUCCUAUAUUAUGUUGUUACACAAAGCUGUGUGUAAUCUUUGAGGCUCUUUCAGGAAUAAAAUCUAUGCCA